This 658-nucleotide unclassified non-coding RNA is filed under the name Hevea brasiliensis (rubber tree). The record is from RNAcentral. Lineage: Eukaryota; Viridiplantae; Streptophyta; Magnoliopsida; Malpighiales; Euphorbiaceae.
CAAUUUCAGUGACAGGAUCUGUUGCUGUUGUUUUCAGCCGGUCAUAAGGAUAGAUAGGAAGCCCUUCCUCAUCUUCAGUUUCACCCUCUUUCACAUCCUCCUGUAUUGUUUCUGGUUUCGGUUUAGGAGCCUCAUCCGUUACAUUGUUAACUGAGUUCUCCUUGGAAUCGCCCUGAGGACUUGAUAUUAUCGCCUCCGUGCUCAAUUUUGGUUCUUCAGGGCUCCCUUUGAUAGAUGGAGGUAUUAUGACUUCCUUGGCAGGUAAAGGUUUAUCGAAACUUGCUGUUAGUGCUGCAAUAGCUGCUGAUCUGGGUGCCAAUUUUGCUGAAUCUGGAGUAACAGAUUUUGGAUAAAGCUUUCUCACCAUUGGCGGAGGCGUAGACAGAUUUCUUGCAUUUGGAUUCUCAAAAGUAGCUGCUAGUGCAUUAAAAGCUGGAGACCUGCCCCUAACACGAACUCGGUCAGGGCUGAAAGACACGCUCCUUGAUCGCUGUGACUUCUCGGGAGCAGCAGAUCUUCCACCAUAUGACACAGGUGUUCUCCUUUUAGGUUUAUCUAUUGGUGGAGCGCCUCCAUUCUUCACUAGUGUGAGUUUUCUUUGGAAUGAGUCUCCAUGCAUAGCAGACUUGGUGGAGUCCCAACUGAAAUGACGAGUGAA